Protopterus annectens (West African lungfish) is the source of this 336-nucleotide long non-coding RNA. RefSeq lists it as uncharacterized. The transcript has 3 exons. NCBI's taxonomy places the organism in Eukaryota, Metazoa, Chordata, Ceratodontiformes, Protopteridae. The record is from RefSeq and is a predicted model, not a curated record.
GCUAAAUCAUUGGGCUUGCGUUUAGUUAGCAAAGGCUGCUGGGAUUUUAGGGCUGUCUUUUUAAAAGUGGAGCGGGGCGCAGUUUGUUACUGGUUCUUAAUUUAUUAGUACAGUUGCGGUUAUUUAAACAUUUCAGGUACCAAAGAUGUCUGAAAAAGGAGACUCUGAACUUGCAUCUGUCGUUGAGAACAAACAAAGUGAAGUACCUGCUGUGUCUGAAAAUGGAGUUAAUGAAGCUAUGUCUGAUUUGGAGAAGAAAGUCAGCCAACAGAUUGAAGUUAGCUUUUUUGUCUCUUAAAUUCUGUCUGGUUUGAAUAAAUUUGUUGUAAGACCAUG